This 837-nucleotide ribosomal RNA is filed under the name Triticum aestivum (bread wheat). RNAcentral's name for it is "partial small subunit ribosomal RNA". The record is from RNAcentral. Lineage: Eukaryota; Viridiplantae; Streptophyta; Magnoliopsida; Poales; Poaceae.
AUGUGUCUCCCAAAAUAUAAAGGAGGCACGGGAUUCAGAAAUUUACAUGCUUUCAAUCUUGCUAUGCUUGCUAAGCAAAGUUGGCGGCUACUAACACACCCUAAUACUUUGUGUGCACAUGUUCUUAGAGCAAAGUAUUAUCCAGAUGGAAAUUUUCUUAUGGCAGGCCCAAAGAAGGGCUCAUCUUUUACAUGGCAGAGCAUUGUGGCGGGUCUUCAAACCUUCAAGAGAGGACAUAUCUGGCGAGUGGGGGACGGUGCCAAAAUAAAUAUUUGGACGGAUCACUGGAUCCCACAAAGUCCUACAAGGAAGGUUAUCACGCCAACGGGUAAUAUCUUGUUGACCAUUGUUGAUGAACUCAUUGAUUCAGGAAUAGGAUGGUGGGAUGAAACCUUGGUUCGGUCUAUAUUCUUUGGUGUUGAUGCUCAACGGAUUUUGAAGAUCCCAUUAUCUACUCAUUUACUGGAUGAUUUUGUAGCGUGGAAUGUCACAAAAAAAAUUUGUUUCUCGGUUCGAUCAGCAUACUAUGUCGAGUGGGAGCACCAAUUCGGACCAAGAAUGAGAAAGGACCCAGCUGAGACAUCAACAAACAACCCUGUUUGGGAGACUCUUUGGAAACUACAAGUUCCAAGCAAGAUAAAGAUUUUUGUCUGGCGAGCACUACAUGGAAUCAUACCUGGGGUGGGAGUAUUGCGAAGUAGACAUAUCAAAGUCUCACCUUCAUGUCCUAUAUGUCACCAAGGACCAGAGGAUAUUCGUCAUUUGGCUUUCACUUGUGUUCGUGCACGUUAGGUUUGGAAGUCCUUGGGUUUGGAUGAGAUAAUAGAUGCAACUAUU